Molecule: ribosomal RNA, 307 nt
Filed under: uncultured bacterium
Lineage: Bacteria
Description: bacterial SSU rRNA
Rfam family: Bacterial small subunit ribosomal RNA
Source: RNAcentral
GACGAACGCUGGCGGCGUGCUUAACACAUGCAAGUCGAACGAUGACGGUGGUGCUUGCACCACCUGAUUUAGUGGCGAACGGGUGAGUAACACGUGAGUAACCUGCCCUUCACUUCGGGAUAACCUCGGGAAAUCGUGGCUAAUACCGGAUAUGAACCCCUGUCGCAUGGUGGGGGUUGAAAGAUUUAUCGGUGAAGGAUGGACUCGCGGCCUAUCAGUUUGUGGUGAGGUAAUGGCUCACCAAGACGACGAUCAGUAGCCGGACUGAGAGGUUGAACGGCCACAUUGGGACUGAGACACGGCCCAG